CAGCAGCCGCGGGAAUACGGAGGGCGCGAGCGUUACCCGGAUUUACUGGGCGUAAAGGGCGUGUAGGCGGCCUGGGGCGUCCCAUGUGAAAGGCCACGGCUCAACCGUGGAGGAGCGUGGGAUACGCUCAGGCUAGAGGGUGGGAGAGGGUGGUGGAAUUCCCGGAGUAGCGGUGAAAUGCGCAGAUACCGGGAGGAACGCCGAUGGCGAAGGCAGCCACCUGGUCCACUUCUGACGCUGAGGCGCGAAAGCGUGGGGAGCAAACCGGAUUAGAUACCCCGGUAGUCCCUGUCUCUUAUAU
This 301-nucleotide ribosomal RNA is filed under the name uncultured bacterium. RNAcentral's name for it is "partial 16S ribosomal RNA". It matches the Rfam family "Bacterial small subunit ribosomal RNA", at positions 509 to 809 of the family's 1533-position model. The record is from RNAcentral.